UUCCAUUUCUAGCUUUGAGCAGAGCUUUGACACCAUGGUACUAACUUUUGGGGACUAGUAUUUCCUGGGCCGUGACUUGUUCUGAGAGAGCAAAGUGCUAAGGCAGAGCCUGUCUGCCGGUUAUUUGUCCUGUCUGAUCUGAACACUUUUCCUGAGCUGUGUAUGACGGAGGGGGGGGUGGUCGGGAACUACUCCUGUGUGCUUAGAAAAGUGAUUGCCAGGUUCUGAACUUCUUAAACUGAUCUCCGUCAGCAGUGACAAGAGCUUUGGACAGAGCUCCCAGCUUUCAGGUCUCAGCUGUGAUAAACUAGGCUCAAAUCAUUUAGUCCCUGGAGUGUGUGUUGGCAUCUCUGCUCCUCUUAAGUUCGGGAUUGUCGCUCUGUUGCUGAUGGGGAAAAUUCAGAGAGGGGCUUUUCAGUGGAUGUGCAGCCGAGAGCAUCAGCAGUGGGUGUUUCCAGCAUCCUUGAAUGCUGCCUCCUGCUGCCUUUAGAAGAAGGCAGCUCUCAGGCAAUGGGGGUGGACAGGCGGCAGAGAGCCUCGGCAGCCCUCUCGCUCGGCUUCCUCUCUUUAAUCUUCUCUAUCACAGCCUUCAGCAGCAGCUACUGGUGUGAAGGAACCCAGAAAGUAGCCAAACCAUUCUGCAGUGAACUCGCAGGUGGCACCCACUGCAUUGGGAUGAACAGCCCAGGUGGAAAUGACAGCAGCGUGGUUCAGUACAUCUGGGAGACGGGAGACGACAAGUUUGUGGAUCGAAAGUUUCAUGCCGGUAUUUGGCAUUCUUGUGAAGAGAUGAUCAGUGGAAAAGGUGAGAAAUGUAGAAGUUUCAUCAGCCUGACACCCCCAGCAGUUCAAGGUGUUCUAUGGUUGUCCAUUGCCGCAGAGAUCCUCUAUAUUAUUUUACUCCUGAUGGGCAUCACUCUCAUGUUGAUUGAAAUCUGUCAUUCCAUCAGUGUCCUGGAUGGGCUGAAGCUUAAUGCAUUUGCUGCUAUAUUCACUGUUUUAGCAGGUCUCCUUGGAAUGGUGGCUCACAUGAUGUAUACAACCGUAUUUCAAAUGACAGUAAAUUUUGGUCCAGAGGACUGGAGGCCUCAGAUGUGGGAUUAUGGCUGGUCUUACUGCUUGGCGUGGGUUUCCUUUGCCUGCUGCAUGGCUUCCUCUGUGACCACAAUGAACAGAUACACAAAAACUAUUUUGGAAUUUAAAUAUAAACAGAAAAAACUGGAGAGAAGUCUACAAGCUAAAUCCAAUCCUCCUGUUCCAGAAAAAGCUUGGAAGAUGUACGUUGACACCCUCCAGAGAACAACCGAGGACUUCAUGCAUCCCUUAACAGACAUUCACAACCCAUCCAGUCCUAUGGGAUUUGCAGAGUUAAAUAACAUUCCUGUGGCACAUUGUGAAGAAUAUUGUUAAGGAGGAGAUCCAGGAUUGUUGAUUUUGCUUUGUAUUAUGGAAAGUACCAAUGUGCCAAGGGAUCCUUUGAGCAGGUAAUUAUUAUCUGGCAAGCAAAUCUCACCAACUGGGUUUUAUAUUUUUGGCUGCAGGCAAAGGUGAAAUAAACAAAGGAAAUAAUUAUGAAGUGUUUAACAGCUCAAUCUUCUUCGUGCCUUUCUUGGCCUUAGAUUAAGAGUUCUGUAAUUUUUGCUGUGAGUGACAGUUAAAGCAACCUGUAUUAUUUGGAUAGGAGGACAAAAUCAUUAAAUCAUCAAACUUUACCAAAAAUGUCCAAGGUCUUCUUACCAUAAGAUAAAACCGCUUAGGAUUUAAGCUUCUCUUCCUGAGCCAGAUUGCAGGACUGCCCUUUCCAUUACCAGUGUACAGUGCAGAUAAAACAGUGAUUUGACUAUAAAGGAAGGGAGGGGAAACCUGUGCCCAGGUUACUUCUCCAGGGUUUGGGAGAAGAGGUGGAGACAAUAAAGGAGAAUAUUUGUAACUCAAGGUUAAAAUAAGGAAUCCUUAGUGCUCUCUGAUCUUGGUUGUUUUCUUGCAAAUGUUUCAUUACCCAAACUAGGUAACAUCAUGAGUUCUAGCUUCAGAAAAGAACCUCUAAUGGAUUUCAGAAUUCAGUAAAGAAAAGUUCAUGGUAAAGCUCACCAAAGCUCGGGGUAAAAGAACUCUAUUGUAUUUUACUCUUACUGCUAUAUGCCUCAGAUGCCACGCCCUUUUGCAGUUCCUCAGCCUGGAUCAACAAAUGAUGCACAGAAUGUCAAAGAAACCAUUGAUCUGCAAGAUAUAGUAAAAGAGUUUUAUAUAUUACUCUUAAAAUCCUAUUUCUGAUGUACUGAAAUGCAUUAAAAAUUCAUACAAAGCAACUUGUAUAAUCAGACAGUGUUCUAAAAUCUAGAUGUCGUCCCAAAUGUAGUUUAGAGGAAAUACUGUAUGUCCCCAGUUUUAUGAGACAAGUGUAGCAAACUGGCAAACAGAUAUAAUCUGAAUUAUUGCUUUAAAUGGGUUUUACUUUCAAAUAAGUAUGUAUAGGAUUAACUAGACUGAGCUUCUGGAAAUGUUGGUGAAUUUAUCAUGCCAGAUGACACUGAUAUGGAAAAGAAGACAUCACUGCGAGUUCUGCUUCAAAAAAAUCAUAUCUGUCUGUUUUCAAGGCACAGUGUAAACUCUAUAAUAAAUGUUGGGGGGUGGGAUUGUACUUGAUUUGCAAAAUCUUCCCCCAGCAUAUUUAGCUGGAUCUCUGAAAUAAUUGGACGUCCAUAUUGACCUAAACUGAAUUUGACACUUAACUUCAAAUGUUCAAAUUACGAUGGGUGUGCUUGAGGACUGAAAUUUUUUCAUGUCGUCUUUUUACUGUAUCGUCUUUUUACAAGUGUAAAAAUCUUUCUUCACUAGUGAUGUUUGGUGGAAUUUGAUUCUUGCUGUGCAAUAAAAAGAGCUGCACAAUG
Non-coding RNA from Pantherophis guttatus, 2891 nucleotides. The record is from RefSeq and is a predicted model, not a curated record. Lineage: Eukaryota; Metazoa; Chordata; Lepidosauria; Squamata; Colubridae.